GAUGAACGCUGACAGAAUGCUUAACACAUGCAAGUCCACUUGAAUUUGGGUUUUUAACUUCGGUUUGGGUGGCGGACGGGUGAGUAACGCGUAAAGAACUUGCCUCACAGCUAGGGACAACAUUUGGAAACGAAUGCUAAUACCUAAUAUUAUGAUAAUAGGGCAUCCUAUAAUUAUGAAAGCUAUAAGCGCUGUGAGAGAGCUUUGCGUCCCAUUAGCUAGUUGGAGAGGUAACGGCUCACCAAGGCGAUGAUGGGUAGCCGGCCUGAGAGGGUGAUCGGCCACAAGGGGACUGAGACACGGCCCUUACUCCUACGGGAGGCAGCAGUGGGGAAUAUUGGACAAUGGACCGAGAGUCUGAUCCAGCAAUUCUGUGUGCACGAUGAAGUUUUUCGGAAUGUAAAGUGCUUUCAGUUGGGAAGAAACAAAUGACGGUACCAACAGAAGAAGUGACGGCUAAAUACGUG
This 467-nucleotide ribosomal RNA is filed under the name uncultured bacterium. RNAcentral describes it as "partial 16S ribosomal RNA". It matches the Rfam family "Bacterial small subunit ribosomal RNA", at positions 28 to 507 of the family's 1533-position model. The record is from RNAcentral.